CACAAUGCUCAUCAUGACAUCAUAGCGUUUCCUAGGAGGACCAGGUCUAUGCCUGUGUACUUGCACACUCAUUUGUGAGUUGGAUCAUGGAUCAUGGCAGGUUUGGGAACAGUAAGUACUUUGCAAGAAACUCGUGUGGCUGAGGUCAAAGAAAUUAUUAUGUCUGCGCAUUCUUGGCAGAUGCUUGGGGAGCUGUGCAGAGCUUUCUUCUUUUGCAAAGCAAAGCGAAGAGUUUAGUUUGCAGAAAAUGACAUCUGAUUCUUAUAGAAAGAAAGCAAUUACAUUUUGGAGCCUGCCUGCCCG
Molecule: long non-coding RNA, 303 nt
Filed under: Coturnix japonica (Japanese quail)
Lineage: Eukaryota; Metazoa; Chordata; Aves; Galliformes; Phasianidae
Description: lncRNA (ENSCJPG00005004936.1)
Source: RNAcentral